GACCUUCUGGGUGUUUCUGCCUCCGAACCUCCGUCUGGUCCGAGCGGAUCCGGGAGGAGGAGCGACCAGGAGGCGGACAUGGCGGUGCCCAGCCCGGGAUAACCACCGCUCCGCUCCACCGGGGACCAACUUUCUCCGAUUAUGCGACGAAGUGAAUAAAAUCACCAUGUUUGGAGAAAACCGAUGCUGCAGCGUUGCAACUCUCCAAACUUUUGCCGGCAGAUUUCCAAAUGCAGGAACGGCUUUUCCAGGGAAAUGAAGCGGCUGUGUUCAGGUUAAAACCCCGCGGAUCCUUCACCUCUGCUGGGAACACCGUGUUCACCGUCACUGCAAGUUUCUCCAACUUCUCCACCAAGAAAAAACACAUGAAAGGGUUAAUUCAUCAGCUACGGGAAGUAUGGGGGAUUUUUUCCAGGAAGUGAUGAAAAAUCUUCUGUUGACAACAGACGCGGUGACGAGGGUGCGAACAGCAAUCGGUGGCUCCUCCUCUCUGACUCGCUCACACUUUUACCUGCCAGAUGUUUGGAGGUGAAACAAACACCACCACACUGAAAAACCGAACUGCAUCUGAUUCUAAUCAAGUUAAAGCUUGAGGGGAAAAAAGAGAAAACAGCCUUUUGUUUAGUGGACGCAUUUAAUCUCUUUGCUUUGUCUUUAGGU
Molecule: long non-coding RNA, 660 nt
Organism: Xiphophorus hellerii (green swordtail)
Lineage: Eukaryota; Metazoa; Chordata; Actinopteri; Cyprinodontiformes; Poeciliidae
Exons: 4
Source: RefSeq, a predicted model, not a curated record